GCAGCCGGGAUCAUAGUCUGCUGAAAAACACAGCACCAACAGCUCGCUUCUAUAGCUUGCACGGUGCACCACACCGCACCUAGUCACAGCACCCCAUGGCAAAGAAAAGAGUUUGAGACAGUAGCCGGCAUAGGAGAGAUCCCAGGUACUGGAGUUCACCUGUACAGCAUCGGAGCCAGCUGCAAGCAGACAGGUGGGACAGAGACACUGCCCUGGUAGCCGUCUGCUGUCUCACUGGAGCAGCACAGCACUGCCGGUUACCGCGUGAGCCGCCGGGCGCACAGGAAGUGCGCGACGCAGGGGGGUGUCGUCAGAGGACCCGGCGCCCGCGGUGAGGGUUUGCACGAGGUGGGGUCCUUCUCGCGCACAGCUGCCUCCACUAAUAUAUAUUAAUAAUAAUCGUCAGUGACCUGACUUAUUGCUGCCAUGUGAAGUGAAAAAGACCAAUCUCCCACCCCCACCCCCUCCCCAACAGCUCCCAUUGCAGCAACAAAGACAAGACAGAACAGAAGAGGAAGCAACAGAGUAAGCCUAGCGGGGUGGGGCAUGGCGGGGUUGACACAUCCUGUGCUGCAAACAUAUUUUUAUUAGUAAAC
Long non-coding RNA from Pseudophryne corroboree (corroboree frog), 596 nucleotides. RefSeq lists it as uncharacterized. The record is from RefSeq and is a predicted model, not a curated record. The transcript is spliced from 3 exons. Lineage: Eukaryota; Metazoa; Chordata; Amphibia; Anura; Myobatrachidae.